This 597-nucleotide ribosomal RNA is filed under the name uncultured bacterium. RNAcentral describes it as "partial 16S ribosomal RNA". It matches the Rfam family "Bacterial small subunit ribosomal RNA", at positions 355 to 1375 of the family's 1533-position model. The record is from RNAcentral.
UGGGGAAUUUUGGACAAUGGGCGAAAGCCUGAUCCAGCAAUGCCGCGUGUGUGAAGAAGGCCUUCGGGUUGUAAAGCACUUUUGUCCGGAAAGAAAUCCUUGGCUCUAAUACAGUCGGGGGAUGACGGUACCGGAAGAAUAAGCACCGGCUAACUACGUGCCAGCAGCCGCGGUAAUACGUAGGGUGCAAGCGUUAAUCGGAAUUACUGGGCGUAAAGCGUGCGCGAGGCUGGUUUGACUAAGACCCGAUGUGAAAUCCCCGGGCUCCCAAGCCUGGGCAACUGGCAUUGGUGAUCUGGGCAGGCUAGAGUAUGGCAGAGGGGGGUAGAAUUCCACGUGUAGCAGUGAAAUGCGUAGAGAUGUGGAGGAAUACCGAUGGCGAAGGCAGCCCCCUGGGCCAAUACUGACGCUCAUGCACGAAAGCGUGGGGAGCAAACAGGAUUAGAUACCCUGGUAGUCCACGCCCUAAACGAUGUCAACUAGUUGUUGGGGAUUCAUUUCCUUAGUAACGUAGCUAACGCGUGAAGUUGACCGCCUGGGGAGUACGGUCGCAAGAUUAAAACUUAAAUGGAAUUGACGGGGUCAUAGCUGUUUCCU